Molecule: long non-coding RNA, 125 nt
Organism: Sapajus apella (tufted capuchin)
Lineage: Eukaryota; Metazoa; Chordata; Mammalia; Primates; Cebidae
Exons: 3
Source: RefSeq, a predicted model, not a curated record
ACAUAUACCACUGGCUCACAGCGUCUAGGGUACCAAGCCACCCAUUCUAUGCACAUUAUUUAAUGCAGUCUUUAUCAUCACUCCAUGAAGCAGAUGCCACUCUGGUUCGAGACCAGCCUGGCCAA